UUUCCCCCUGCGGCAAUCCACACCACCUCCAUCACCGGAUGCUGGGGGGGGGCGGGGACAGACGCAGUCCUGGGAGUGGCCUGGGAUUGCCGACUAUAAAAGCAGGUAGUAUUUUUUAAGCACUUAAGUGAUAGUCCAGAUGUUGUGCUAAGCAUUCUGCAUAGAUCACCUCACUUAAUUCUCUACAGCUCUGUGAGGACGUUCCAUUAUGGGAAUAUUCUCUCUGGUCACCACUCUGUACCCAUCACUUCAUCUAAUCUUUGCGGCAGCCCUAUAUGGCCUGUUGUGAGACUCAAGUCUGACACUGUCUGUGAAAAGUGAGAACCCUGCAGUUUUGUCCGUCAGCAACUGUGGUGGAUCGUAUCUACGCCGUCUGCUCCCCCUCGUCCCAAACCAGCAACACAGCCCUGCGGGAUUCAAGAGAUGCGACUGAACAGCCUUCCCACGCAGAAGGCCAAGGAUGAGGCCGACAGCCCACAGAAACUUCCGCCUAUGAAGGAACCAGAAAAUCACCAGCAGCCGCCUCAGACUGCAUUAUUAGGAACACAGGAUGUGUUUACCUUGGUUAUGUUCCAUGGUUUCUUUAAAUUAUUAUUUUUUUUACUA
This is a long non-coding RNA of Suricata suricatta (meerkat), 606 nucleotides long. RefSeq lists it as uncharacterized. Lineage: Eukaryota; Metazoa; Chordata; Mammalia; Carnivora; Herpestidae. The transcript has 3 exons. The record is from RefSeq and is a predicted model, not a curated record.